UUUUAUUAUUAUUUAGCGGACGUUCUCUGUUUAGAUCUCUUUAGCGAAAGGUUUUCGUCACGUAUGCCUCUAUAGUGAACGUUCGUUUGAUAGGAUUUUUCUCCUUCUUUUUAAUUUCGUCCAGGGACCUAUCUGUGAAUUCUUUUCUUACAGUUUAGUCCCUGAUCUUCAAUCGACUACAACUUUUUAGUCGUUUGUCCAAAUCCAACGAAACCAACGCCCACUUCUUCGUUAUGAUCCCCUCUAUCCAGAUAAUCAACUUAAACAUGUUUUUGGAAGUUUUAAAAUUUGAAUUAGAUCAUAUUUGUUUUUGAACUUCGUUUGAUCAUAACUUGAGUUUUAUAACUCCGAUUUAGUUUAUUCUUUUUGCAAAUCGAAGCUCUUGACCUAAACUUUCUGAUAAGGCCAAAUUCACUUAAUUUUGGUUCUGUUAGAAAUUGUUUUAUGUCGCAAGAAUUAUUUGCUUGGUUUUGAUGUUUUCCGAAUUGUUUUCUUCAUUCUUUCUGAUCUUUUGAGUGAUUGCUUAUGUGUGGUUACUAUUGCUUGCUAUCCCUAGAUUGACCAGAGUGUGACGAGUAGAACUAUCAAGAAUUUUGAGUGCGAAUCAUCUCCAUCAACUGUACAAGCAAGUUCACACUUUGAUCAUAUCCCUUUCAUACCUAGUUUUUAUGCAUUAGUUUCAACCCUCAAACAUUGCAUGAGUAGGAUUGAUAACAUGUGGGUAUUAGGAAGUAGUUGAUGAGGUAGGAACCUAUUGCUCUGCAUUCAAACCCUUGGGAGUUACUAUUAUGUUAUGCUUAUAUUGCCAUGCUAUGCUCGUAGACGUGGAUUGGGUUUGAGUGUAUUCAUGACAGAUGUGAGUAUUCUUAAUUAAUGGUCCAACUUAAGGUGGCAACUUAAAUACACAUCUCGGUGGAUUGACGCACCUUUGGAAUCCAGUGAUUGCCUGUAUUUUUUGGAAAUCCCGGGGUACCGUGUGAUUCUCCUAUGGACUGCCACCCAGGCUCAAAGGGAUCAUAAGAUUAUUCAUGCUAGAAACUUCCGUGUGCAGCCACAAGCUAUUAUGGGCUCUAGCAUAGUUGAUUAAGUUGUGUGAACACUUACAGUGGUAGACUAGCAGAUGUAGGGGAUGUAGGUGGUAUUGUCUACCCAUCGUAAGGUGCUAACGCUUCUGAAAGACUGUGUCUCGGUCAUCCGUUUCUCAAACACCAUGUAGUGCGAGAAAUCCAAUGGAGGAGAUCGAGUCUUGUGGGAAAAAGUGAGCAAACCUCUGCAGAGUGUACAAACUAAUCAUGGUUAGCCGUGUCCCCGGUUAUGGACAUCUUGAGUAUCUGGUUCUUGGAUUAUCAUGUUGAUCUCAUCACUCUAUAUAAUUAAUCUGGUUGGGUUGUUAAUUACUUCUAAUUGGGAUUGAGAUGGGAUUUACCAUUCUCAAUGUUUUCAACCAAUUUUGUAGUUAAAUAAAAUAUAUUCCUUUGCAGUAGGGAAAAAUUGGCUUUUCGCAAAAACAUUAUAACCAUGAGGUUUUCCACCAGCCAAAUAUGCAUGUAGUGAUAGCCUUUAUUCAUCAUUAUCCUAUGGUGUGAAUUUGCGAGUACAUUCAAUGUACUGACCCUUUGUGGCUGCAACGUCUCAUGUUGCAGGAUUCUUACGACGAGUAAGUGAUACGUUAGGGUUACGAUUUUCUACACUCAACUUUGUCAUUGGUGUUGAUGGGAAUCCACAACCUUGUUGUACUUCCGCUAUUUGGAUUGAGGUAAUAGUAUUUUAUGUUACUUUAUACAUGUGAUUUACCUCUGUUAUAAAUCCUCGAGUACUGUGUGUGUCAGCAUACCGAUCCAGGGAUGACACUUAAGCACAGAGACUUGACCAUCUGAGGUCGGGUCGCUACAAGAUGGUAUCAGAGCACAUGUUGACUGUAGGACGUGACUGUAGAAACUGGCAAGCCCAUAGGAAGGAUUUUCUCUAAAACAUUCUUUUUCAAAGAGAUCUUUUACCUCUCUUCUCUUCUGAGCUUAUUCAAAUAUUCCCUUUUAGUGAGACCAUAUCCCUUUCCCCUUUUGACCACUCAAAGAUUCGACUGAUGAGACCACUCCAAGAAGUACAAGAGAUCGGACAACCACGACCACUACGGAAUGAAGGAGAUUUUACCGUGCAUCUGAAUAAUGGAAACUACAACUGUUGAAGACUCCGAAGACUAGGAGAAUUUCAAGGCUCUGAAGAAUUCCCAGAUUUUUAUGACCUAGGAAGGCUACCCUUAUGGAACUUGGCAGACUAUGGAAGUUGUCAAUACCCGAGAUCAAGGUGUAUCGGAGAAAGACCGGAGCAUGGAGAGUUAAAAACUCAAAGUUCUGUCAAGGGAAACCCUAAGGCAGGACAUAUCAACUAUGGAGAGAUAGCUCAUGGAAAUGACCAAGAGCAGAAACACGGCUAUCCAUGAUGUUAUCGCCCGCUUAUGCUAUUGUCACCGUGCUGAGUUAAGCAUGCAUAUGCAUUGAAAGAUUGGAUGGUAGAAGGCUGAUGGAGCACCUAUCAGCAAGAUGAAGUUUUAACCUUAGCCGGUGUAGCACCAGGAUCUGGAGUGUUAUAUCAAGAAGUUAAGAUGGACCUACAAGAAGCAGUAUUUGAUAAGGAAGCGUUUCGUGAAGAACUCAGGACCCAAAAGCUGAAAGUAGCCAAGCUAGAGGAGCAAACCUUGAGACAUCAAAGAUUCAUCAGGAACUGAAGGACAGUAGGAUCAUGGUUCAUGUCAUGGUUGAUGAGACCCAGAAGUCUGGAACGCAAGUCCAGAAAUAUUAAAGGACGUCACGAUAGACUUUGCGACAACAGAGAUGAUCUGGCAAAAGAAGUUGAGAAGGACAAGCAUGAUCGGAAGAAGCCAUCGGAGACCUGAGCAAGACUUGAAGAGUUUUGCGACCCUGAAGAUUUAUUGACCUUUAGAAGACCAAACCUCUGUUAUAUACCUACGUUAGAUGCGACGUUUGUGAGUUGUCAUUUGUUUGAUGUUUUUCCGACAGCCACAAUAAAAAUAUGUCUUUUUAAAACUAUUGUUUGCAUUGUGUGUAUCCCUCUCUAUCUCUCUUAUCUCACCCCAAACCCAUGGACCCAUUAGUGGAUGAAUGGAUAUGAGCUUGUAUUUGCUGGACCGAUGAGUCAAUUGGAGACGGACCGAUGGAUUCAGAACAUGGAAGAUCAUAUGAGGAAUAACCCUAUAGCCGGAAAGGAUAUGACCUAGCAUGCUCUUCAGUAUUUUGAAAGAGGUGCUGCUAGUUGGUGGAGGAUGUACCAAACCGCCAAUGGAUGGCAAAGAGUAACCACUUGGGGAGAAUUUAAGUUGACUCUGCUAAAGUCUCGGUUUGUGUCCCAGGAGUUGAAGCCUUAUGGAAAUGAUAUGAAGAGACCGUGUGCAUGUAACCUCUGUGGAGAAAUAGGAUAAACCCAUAAGGAACACAAGGAUAAAUGCCCUAAUUGUGAAGAAAGUCACCCAGCUGAAGAAUGCCCAACUAGGCAGAUACUUGUUUCUUGUGUGAAGGAACUACCUGUUGGGGAACGUAGUAAUUUCAAAAAAUUUCCUACGCACACGCAAGAUCAUGGUGAUGCAUAGCAACGAGAGGGGAGAGUGUUGUCCACGUACCCUCGUAGACCGACAGCGGAAGCGUUAUCACAACGCGGUUGAUGUAGUCGUACGUCUUCACGAUCCGACCGAUCAAGUACCGAACGUACGGCACCUCCGAGUUCUACACACGUUCAGCUCGAUGACGUCCCUCGAACUCCGAUCCAGCCAAGUGUUGAGGGAGAGUUUUGUCAGCACGACGGCGUGGUGACGAUGAUGAUGUUCCACCGAUGCAGGGCUUCGCCUAAGCUCCGCAACGGUAUUAUCGAGGUGUAAUAUGGUGGAGAGGGGCACCGCAUACGGCUAAGAGAUCUCAAGGAUCAAUUGUUGUGUCUCUGGGAUGCCCCCUUGCUCCCGUAUAUAAAGGAGCAAGGGGGAGGCAGCCGACCAAGGGGAGAGGCGCGCCACAGGGGGGAGUCCUACUCCCACCGGGAGUAGGACUCCUCCUUUCCUUGUGGGAGUAGGAGAAGGGAAGGGGGAAGGAGAAAGAAGGAAGGGUGCGCCCCCCUUCCCUAGUCCAAUUCGGACCAGACCAUGGGGAGGGGUGCGGCCACCUUUUGAGGCCCUUCUCUCCUUUCCCGUAUGGCCCAUUAAGGCCCAAUACGAAUUCCGUAACUCUCCGGUACUCCGAAAAAUACCCGAAUCACUCGGAACCUUUCCGAAGUCCGAAUAUAGUCGUCCAAUAUAUCGAUUUUUACGUCUCGACCAUUUCGAGACUCCUCGUCAUAUCCCUGAUCUCAUCCGGGACUCCGAACUCCUUCGGUACAUCAAAACUCAAUAAAACUAUCAUCGUAACGUUAAGCAUGCGGACCCUACGGGUUCGAGAACUAUGUAGACAUGACCGAGACACGUCUCCGGUCAAUAACCAAUAGCGGGACCUGGAUGCCCAUAUUGGCUCCCACAUAUUCUACGAAGAUCUUUAUCGGUCAGACCGCAUAACAACAUACGUUGUUCCCUUUGUCACCGGUAUGUUACUUGCCCGAGAUUUGAUCGUCGGUAUCUCGAUACCUAGUUCAAUCUCGUUACCGGCAAGUCUCUUUACUCGUUCCGUAACACAUCAUCCCGCAACUAACUCAUUAGUCACAAUGCUUGCAAGGCUUAUAGUGAUGUGCAUUACCGAGUGGGCCCAGAGAUACCUCUCCGACAAUUGGAGUGACAAAUCCUAAUCUCAAAAUACGCCAACCCAACAAGUACCUUUGGAGACACCUGUAGAGCACCUUUAUAAUCACNNNNNNNNNNNNNNNNNNNNNNNNNNNNNNNNNNNNNNNNNNNNNNNNNNNNNNNNNNNNNNNNNNNNNNNNNNNNNNNNNNNNNNNNNNNNNNNNNNNNNNNNNNNNNNNNNNNNNNNNNNNNNNNNNNNNNNNNNNNNNNNNNNNNNNNNNNNNNNNNNNNNNACGUUGUGACGUUUGGUAGCACACAAAGUGUUCCUCCGGUAAACGGGAGUUGCAUAAUCUCAUAGUCAUAGGAACAUGUAUAAGUCAUGAAGAAAGCAAUAGCAACAUACUAAACGAUCGAGUGCUAAGCUAACGGAAUGGGUCAAGUCAAUCACGUCAUUCUCCUAAUGAGGUGAUCUCGUUAAUCAAAUGACAACUUAUGUCUAUGGCUAGGAAACAUAACCAUCUUUGAUUAAUGAGCUAGUCAAGUAGAGGCAUACUAGUGACACUCUGUUUGUCUAUAUAUUCACACAUGUAUUAUGUUUCCGGUUAAUACAAUUCUAGCAUGAAUAAUAAACAUUUAUCAUGAUACAAGGAAAUAAAUAAUACUUUAUUAUUGCCUCUAGGGCAUAUUUCCUUCAGUCUCCCACUUGCACUAGAGUCAAUAAUCUAGAUUACACAGUAAUGAUUCUUACACCCAUGGAGCCUUGGUGCUGAUCAUGUGUUGCUCAUGGAAGAGGCUUAGUCAACGAGUCUGCAACAAUCAGAUCCGUAUGUAUCUUGCAAAUUUCUAUGUCUCCCACCUGGACUAAAUCCCGGAUGGAAUUGAAGCGUCUUUUGAUGUGCUUGGUUCUCUUGUGAAAUCUGGAUUCCUUUGCCAAGGACCCGAUGCACUAGGUAUGACACCUAGAUCGGAUAUGAACUCCUUUAUCCAGACUCCUUCAUUUGCUGCUUCCGAAGCAGCUAUGUACUCCGCUUCACAUGUAGAUCCCGCCACGACGCUUUGUUUAGAACUGCACCAACUGACAGCUCCACCGUUCAAUGUAAAUACGUAUCCGGUUUGCGAUUUAGAAUCGUCCGGAUCAGUGUCAAAGCUUGCAUCAACGUAACCAUUUACGAUGAGCUCUUUGGCACCUCCAUAUACGAGAAACAUAUCCUUAGUCCUUUUCUGGUAUUUCAGGAUGUUCUUGACCGCUGUCCAGUGAUCCACUCCUGGAUUACUUUGGUACCUUCCUGCUAGACUUAUAGCAAGGCAUAUAUCAGGUCUGGUACACAGCAUUGCAUACAUGAUAGAGCCUAUGGCUGAAGCAUAGGGGACAUCUUUCAUCUUCUCUCUAUCUUCUGAAGUGGUCGGGCAUUGAGUCUUACUCAACUUCACACCUUGCAACACAGGCAAGAAUCCUUUCUUUGCUUGAUCCAUUUUGAACUUCUUCAAAACUUUGUCAAGGUAUGUGCUUUGUGAAAGUCCAAUUAAGCGUCUUGCUCUAUCUCUAUAGAUCUUGAUGCCCAAUAUAUACGCAACUUCACCGAGGUCUUUCAUUGAAAAACUCUUAUUCAAGUAUCCCUUUAUGCUAUCCAGAAAUUCUAUAUCAUUUCCAAUCAGUAAUAUGUCAUCCACAUAUAAUAUCAGAAAUGCUACAGAGCUCCCACUCACUUUCUUGUAAAUACAGGCUUCUCCAAAAGUCUGUAUAAAACCAAAUGCUUUGAUCACACUAUCAAAGCGUUUAUUCCAACUCCGAGAGGCUUGCACCAGUCCAUAAAUGGAUCGCUGGAGCUUGCACACUUUGUUAGCUCCCUUUGGAUCGACAAAACCUUCUGGUUGCAUCAUAUACAACUCUUCUUCCAGAAAUCCAUUCAGGAAUGCAGUUUUGACAUCCAUUUGCCAAAUUUCAUAAUCAUAAAAUGCGGCAAUUGCUAACAUGAUUCGGACAGACUUAAGCAUCGCUACGGGUGAGAAGGUCUCAUCGUAGUCAAUCCCUUGAACUUGUCAAAAACCUUUCGCAACAAGUCGAGCUUUAUAGACAUUAACAUUACCAUCAGCGUCAGUCUUCUUCUUGAAGAUCCAUUUAUUUUCAAUGGCUUGCCGAUCAUUGGGCAAGUCAACCAAAGUCCAUACUUUGUUCUCAUACAUGGAUCCCAUCUCAGAUUUCACGGCCUCAAGCCAUUUUGCGGAAUCUGGGCUCACCAUCGCUUCUUCAUAGUUCGUAGGUUCGUCAUGGUCUACUAACAUAACUUCCAGAACAGGAUUACCGUACCACUCUGGUGCGGAUCUUACUCUGGUUGAUCUACGAGGUUCAGUAAUAACUUGAUCUGAAGUUUCAUGAUCAUCAUCAUUAACUGCCUCACUAAUUGGUGUAGGUGUCUCCGAAACAGGUUUCUGUGAUGAACUACUUUCCAAUAAGGGAGCAGGUUUAGUUACCUCAUCAAGUUCUACUUUCCUGCCACUCACUUCUUUUAAGAGAAACUCCUUCUCUAGAAAAUUUCUGAAUUUAGCAACAAAAUUUUUCCUUCGGAUCUGUGAUAGAAGGUAUACCCAACAGUCUCCUUUGGGUAUCCUAUGAAGACACAUUUCUCCGAUUUGGGUUCGAGCUUAUCAGGUUGAAGUUUCUUCACAUAAGCAUCGCAGCCCCAAACUUUAAGAAACGACAACUCUGGUUUCUUGGCAAACCACAAUUCAUAAGGCGUCGUCUCAAUGGAUUUUGAUGGUGCCCUAUUUAACGUGAAUGCAGCCGUCUCUAAAGCAUAACCCCAAAACGAUAGCGGUAAAUCAGUAAGAGACAUCAUAGAUCGCACCAUAUCUAGUAAAGUGCGAUUACGACGUUCGGACACACCAUUACGCUGUGGUGUUUCGGGUGGCGUGAGUUGCGAAACUAUUCAGCAUUGUUUCAAAUGUAGACCAAACUCGCAACUCAAAUAUUCUCCUCCACGAUCUGAUCGUAGAAACUUUAUUUUCUUGUUACGAUGAUUUUCAACUUCACUCUGAAAUUCUUUGAACUUUUCAAAUGUUUCAGACUUAUGUUUCAUUAAGUAGAUAUACCCAUAUCUGCUUAAAUCAUCUGUGAAGGUGAGAAAAUAACGAUAUCCGCCACGAGCCUCAACAUUCAUCGGACCACAUACAUCUGUAUGUAUGACUUCCAACAAAUCUGUUGCUCUCUCCAUAGUUCCGGAGAACGGUGUUUUAGUCAUCUUGCCCAUGAGGCACGGUUCGCAAGUACCAAGUGAUUCAUAAUCAAGUGGUUCCAAAAGUCUAUCAGUAUGGAGUUUCUUCAUGCGCUUUACACCGAUAUGACCUAAACGGUAGUGCCACAAAUAAGUUGCACUAUCAUUAUCAACUCUGCAUCUUUUGGUUUCAAUAUUAUGAAUAUGUGUAUCACUACUAUCGAGAUUCAACAAAAAUAGACCACUCUUCAAGGGUGCAUGACCAUAAAAGAUAUUACUCAUAUAAAUAGAACAACCAUUAUUCUCUGAUUUAAAUGAAUAACCGUCUCGCAUCAAACAAGAUCCAGAUAUAAUGUUCAUGCUCAACUUUGGCUUCAAAUAACAAUUAUUGAGGUCUAAAACUAAUCCCGAAGGUAGAUGUAGAGGUAGCGUGCCGACCGCGAUCACAUCGACUUUGGAACCAUUUCCCACGCGCAUCGUCACCUCGUCCUUAGCCAAUCUUCGCUUCAUCCGUAGCCCCUGUUUCGAGUUGCAAAUAUUAGCAACAGAACCAGUAUCAAAUACCCAGGUGCUACUGCGAGCAUUAGUAAGGUACACAUCAAUAACAUGUAUAUCACAUAUACCUUUGUUCACCUUGCCAUCCUUCUUAUCCGCCAAAUACUUUGGGCAGUUCCGCUUCCAGUGACCGGUUUGCUUGCAGUAGAAGCACUCAGUUUCAGGCUUAGGUCCAGACUUGGGUUUCUUCUCCUGAGCAGCAACUUGUUUGCUGUUCUUCUUGAAGUUCCCUUUCUUCUUCCAUUUAUCCUUUUUCUUGAAACUGGUGGUCUUAUUGACCAUCAACACUUGAUGCUCCUUUUUGAUUUCUACCUCCGCAGCCUUUAGCAUUGCGAAGAGCUCGGGAAUUGUCUUACUCAUCCCUUGCAUAUUAUGGUUCAUCACGAAGCUCUUGUAGCUUGGUGGCAGUGAUUGAAGAAUUCUGUCAAUAACGCUAUCAUCCGGAAGAUUAACUCCCAGUUGAAUCAAGUGAUUGUUAUACCCAGACAUUUUGAGUAUAUGCUCACUGACAGAACUAUUCUCUUCCAUCUUGCAGCUGAAGAACUUAUUGGAGACUUCAUAUCUCUCAAUUCGGGCAUUUGCUUGAAAUAUUAACUUCAACUCCUGGAACAUCUCAUAUGCUCCAUGACGUUCAAAACGUCGUUGAAGACCCGGUUCUAAGCCAUAAAGCAUGGCACACUGAACUAUCGAGUAGUCAUCAGCUUUGCUCUGCCAGACGUUCAUAACAUCUGGUGUUGCUCCUGCAGCAGGCCUGGAACCCAGCAGUGCUUCCAGGACGUAAUUCUUCUGUGCAGCAAUGAGGAUAAUCCUCAAGUUACGGACCCAGUCCGUGUAAUUGCUACCAUCAUCUUUCAACUUUGCUUUCUCAAGAAACGCAUUAAAAUUCAACGGAACAACAACACGGGCCAUCUAUCUACAAUUAACAUAGACAAGCAAAAUACUAUCACGUACUAAGUUCAUGAUAAAUUCAAGUUCAAUUAAUCAUAUUACUUAAGAACUCCCACUUAGAUAGACAUCCCUCUAAUCCUCUAAGUGAUCAAGUGAUCCAUAUCAACUAAACCAUGUCCGAUCAUCACGUGAGAUGGAGUAGUUUCAAUGGUGAACAUCACUAUGUUGAUCAUAUCUACUAUAUGAUUCACGCUCGACCUUUCGGUCUCCGUCCGAGGCCAUAUCUGUUAUAUGCUAGGCUCGUCAAGUUUAACCUGAGUAUUCCGCGUGUGCAACUGUUUUGCACCCGUUGUAUUUGAACGUAGAGCCUAUCACACCCGAUCAUCACGUGGUGUCUCAGCACGAAGAACUUUCGCAACGGUGCAUACUGAGGGAGAACACUUAUACUUUGAUAAUUUAGUGAAGGAUCAUCUUAUAAUGCUACCGUCAAACAAAGCAAGAUUAGAUGCAUAAAGGAUUAACAUCACAUGCAAUCAAUAUAAGUGAUAUGAUAUGGCCAUCAUCAUCUUGUGCUUGUGAUCUCCAUCUCCGAAGCACCGUGCUUGUGAUCUCCAUCUCCGAAGCACCGUCAUGAUCACCAUCGUCACCGGCGCGACACCUUGAUCUCCAUCAUAGCAUCGUUGUCGUCUCGUCAAUCUUAUGCUUCUACGACUAUCACUACCGCUUAGUGAUAAAGUAAAGCAUUACAUGGCGAUUGCAUUGCAUACAAUAAAACGACAACCAUAUGGCUCCUGCCAGUUGCCGAUAACUCGGUUACAAAACAUGAUCAUCUCAUACAACAAAUUAUAUCACAUAAUGUCUUGACCAUAUCACAUCACAACAUGCCCUGCAAAAACAAGUUAGACGUCCUCUACUUUGUUCUUGCAAGUUUUACGUGGCUGCUACGGGCUUAGCAAGAACCGUUCUUACCUACGCAUCAAAACCACAACGAUAGUUUGUCAAGUUGGUGCUGUUUUAACCUUCGCAAGGACCGGGCAUAGCCACACUCGGUUCAACUAAAGUGAGAGAGACAGACACCCGCCAGUCACCUUUAAGCAACGAGUGCUCGCAACGGUGAAACCAGUCUCGCGUAAGCGUACGCGUAAUGUCGGUUCGGGCCGCUUCAUCUCACAAUACCGCUGAACCAAAGUAUGACAUGCUGGUAAGCAGUAUGACUUAUAUCGCCCACAACUCACUUGUGUUCUACUCGUGCAUAGCAUCAACGCAUAAAACCAGGCUCUGAUGCCACUGUUGGGGAGAGUGUUGUCCACGUACCAUCGUAGACCGACAGCGGAAGCGUUAUCCCAACGCGGUUGAUGUAGUCGUACGUCUUCACGAUCCGACCGAUCAAGUACCGAACGUACGGCACCUCCGAGUUCUACACACGUUCAGCUCGAUGACGUCCCUCAAACUCCGAUCCAGCCGAGUGUUGAGGGAGAGUUUCGUCAGCACGACGGCGUGGUGACGAUGAUGAUGUUCCACCGAUGCAGGGCUUCGCCUAAGCUCCGCAACGGUAUUAUCGAGGUGUAAUAUGGUGGAGGGGGGCACCGCACACGGCUAAGAGAUCUCAAGGAUCAAUUGUUGUGUCUCUAGGGUGCCUCCUUGCCCCCGUAUAUAAAGGAGCAAGGGGGAGGCAGCCGGCCAAGGGGAGAGGCGCGCCAUAGGGGGGAGUCCUACUCCCACCAGGAGUAGGACUCCUCCUUUCCUUGUGGGAGUAGGAGAAGGGAAGGGGGAAGGAGAAAGAAGGAAGGGUGCGCCCCCCCUUCCCGAGUCCAAUUCGGACCAGACCAUGGGGAGGGGUGCGGCCACCUUUUGAGGCCUUUCUCUCCUUUCCCGUAUGGCCCAUUAAGGCCCAAUACGAAUUCCCGUAACUCUCCGGUACUCCGAAAAAUACCCGAAUCACUCGGAAUCCGAAGUCCGAAUAUAGUCGUCCAAUAUAUCGAUUUUUACGUCUCGACCAUUUCGAGACUCCUCGUCAUAUCCCUGAUCUCAUCCGGGACUCCGAACUCCUUCGGUACAUCAAAACUCAAUAAAACUGUCAUCGUAACGUUAAGCGUGCGGACCCUACGGGUUCGAGAACUAUGUAGACAUGACCGAGACACGUCUCCGGUCAAUAACCAAUAGCGGGACCUGGAUGCCCAUACUGGCUCCCACAUAUUCUACGAAGAUCUUUAUCGGUUAGACCGCAUAACAACAUACGUUGUUCCCUUUGUCACCGGUAUGUUACUUGCCCGAGAUUUGAUCGUCGGUAUCUCGAUACCUAGUUCAAUCUCGUUACCGGCAAGUCUCUUUACUUGUUCCGUAACACAUCAUCCCGCAACUAACUCAUUAGUCACAAUGCUUGCAAGGCUUAUAGUGAUGUGCAUUACCGAGUGGGCCCAGAGAUACCUCUCCGACAAUUGGAGUGACAAAUCCUAAUCUCAAAAUACGCCAACCCAACAAGUACCUUUGGAGACACCUGUAGAGCACCUUUAUAAUCACCCAUUUACGUUGUGACGUUUGGUAGCACACAAAGUGUUCCUCCGGUAAACGGGAGUUGCAUAAUCUCAUAGUCAUAGGAAUAUGUAUAAGUCAUGAAGAAAGCAAUAGCAACAUACUAAACGAUCGAGUGUUAAGCUAACGGAAUGGGUCAAGUCAAUCACGUCAUUCUCCUAAUGAGGUGAUCUCGUUAAUAAAAUGACAACUUAUGUCUAUGGCUAGGAAACAUAACCAUCUUUGAUUAAUGAGCUAGUCAAGUAGAGGCAUACUAGUGACACUCUGUUUGUCUAUAUAUUCACACAUGUAUUAUGUUUCCGGUUAAUACAAUUCGAGCAUGAAUAAUAAACAUUUAUCAUGAUACUAGGAAAUAAAUAAUACUUUAUUAUUGACUCUAGGGCAUAUUUCCUUCACUACCCACUACCCUGCUCAGUGUCACAUUUACCCCAUGUAACAAAGAACCUUCCAGCAGAAGAAAGAAGCAAUGAAAGGAGCCCUCAGGGAAAUUUUAGAGGAAUCUGUGAUGAAGGAAGAGGUGGAGGACACACCUAAAGAAGAACCAAUUAGACCUUGCACCAAGUCUUGAUAUUCAUGUGGAGAAGAAGGACACAUCUCCCAGAAUUGUUUGAGUGGGGAUCUAGUAGAAUUCCCGACGGAGGAAGUAGAGUAUGACCCAUAGGAAAUAGAAGCCCUGAUUGGAACAGAAAAGUCCAGGAAGAGAAGUUGAUUGGAUUCCCGGAAGGACCUGAGCCAUAUCACCUAUUACAGGUGCAAGGAGUCAGGGCACUACCUCAGCAGUUGCCCAAAAAGGAAGCCGAGGAUCCAAAGAGGCUAUGUAGUCAUAAGGAAACCACGAGACUUGUCAGAAGUAAUAUGUUUCUGCUGCAAUAAAGCAGGGCACUUUGCCAGAGAUUGUCCCAAUGAGAAGGAGACUCAUGCUAAUAGUUGUGACGAAAAAGGAAUAUAGUAGUAGUAGUAGUGGGAACAUUUUGUUUUCUGUAUUGAGGUGUUGUGUUGAGGCAUGUAAUGGAUAUGCAGGAGAUUGUAGUAAUUUGAGGAUAAAGUUAGCAUCGUUAGUACUGAUUGGAUUUUAUGAGUUGUUACUCUGUGAAGAAAGAUUUUGACCAUUUUCGAGGAUAUGAGAAAUAUGGUAUAUGGAUGAGUUUGUGCAUUUUAAGGGUGGUAGUAACUGUGAGGACACUUGACCCCUGGAAAGGAUAAUGAUGUUCCACGGAGUGGACUUCAUAAGUACAAGUUUUAUCUUGAUAUGUUGGAUACCCCAAGAAUAUGAAGGGAUGACACUUAAGCACAGAGACUUGACCGUCUGAGGUCAGGAUGAAUUACUAUUGGAUAAAAAGGAGAUAUGAUGUUGGUAUUAUGGAACGAUUAUAACUCCAUGAGGAGUCUGAUUAAUCACGUCUUAGUUUGGAACCAAUAGAAGGAAGAAGGACCGUACAAUUGGAUGGAUUUAAGCAUGCUAGGAAGCUGGAUGUUGGAAUAAUGAUUAGUUGCCCCGAUGAUGAGUUCAAGGUUUGCAAAUGAUGAGAUGGGCCAUAACCCACAGGCCCCAGGACCUGCCAAGAAGCAAGCACACUCUUGCUGAAGGAAGAACCCUGGAAGAAGUUACGAUUUUAUCGAUAGACGAUUUCAUAGGAGUUUACGCAAAACUUGAGAGUUGUGAAGAAACGAUAGAUGUUUGUUUGUCUUGCAAAAUCCAUGGAUUUAUCCGAACUUGGUUCGUCGACAAGAGAAAUUCUGCAAUGCUUGUGAGCAUGACCGAGUGUUAGAAUGCGAGAUUCACUAAACCAUAUACAGGGUAAUGAUUUGGGUGCGGGAUGGAUUGAUCACCAUACCGACUUACUCUUAUUGUUCGCUUUGCUAUAUGGGAUGGUAAAUCUGAGUGACUUGCCUAUAGUAGAGAGACGACGAUCAAAACCUUGUUUAAACCUUAGAAUGGUAUAGCAAUUUUCCCUUGUACAAGGCAGUUGUUGCCAAUCGUAGGAUAUACGGUGAGGAUCAACCCAGACCCAUUUCCUGCAGAAGAAACCAUAAAUUGUGGACCACCAUGAGCUAUCGAUAGUUGUUUAGUAUUGGCGCCAGACCUGUCAGCUAAGAAGACCCAGUCUUGGAAUAACCUUACCAAGAUGAAAGGACAGAAGAAUUGCCGUAAAGGUUAUGCCACUACAGGAAGAGCCCAGGGAAGGAAUUUUCCUGAAGAUCUGAGAAGACUGGCCUGUCAAGAACAAGGAUGGAGUAUAUGAGUUUCGAUGGAGUUGUAACAAUGUUUCUAAGGGUGGUAGCACCCCAGACUCCCUGAGACGAUCGAUGGAUUUUGAGAAGACCCCAAACCCAACCUAUUUCUUGCUAGACUCUCCGAAUCUCGAGGACGAGAUUCAUUUUAAGAGUGGUAGGUUUGUAACAUCCCAAAAUUCUAAAUUUUGGAAUGUUAUAAUAAAUAGAUAGAUUGUUUGAUUGUUGUGUGAUUGAUUGACUGAAAGUGAGUGACAUUCGAAACUUUUUUUAAAGUUAAAUGGGAGGGAAUAAAAGGACUUUCCCAAACUUUCACCUUUUUGCAUUUUGAUCUCCGUGAAUUCAAAUUCUUUUCAAAUACAAAACUCUCGAGAGAAGAUGGCAUGACUUCUUCCAUUUAAUUAAAUGAAAAGGGUAUUUGAGAAUAUUUGUAUUUCAUUCGAAAAUAUUUCCAAAACUUCAAACAACUCAAUGAUUUUCAUGAGAGAAGAUAAAAUGACUUAUUCAAAACAUAUGAAAUAUGAGUUGGGAGUUUCAAAGAAUUAAAUUCAAAGUCCAUUCGAAAUUAUUUUCAAUUUGGAGUUAUUUGAGUUUUAUUCAAAUUAUUUUUCUCCAAAAAUAUAAUAUAUGGAAAAUAGGGUAACAUGAUUCCCUACAUCAGAAAAUUGGAGAUAAAUAAAUUUGAAUUCAUUUUGCUAUUUUUAAAAUGAUUUUUAUGAGGUUUUAUUGCAACAGUAGCACACUUUGAUUUAUUUGAAUUUUUGAGGAAAUUAGUUGAUGCUAAAAUAAUGUUCAUGUUGUAGAAAAUAUUUUUCUCAAAAUUUUGAUACAUUAUAUGCCUAUGUAAAAUUUUUAUUUAUUUUGCUUUUCUGGAAAAUGUUUAUUAAAAAAAACUUUUCCGCCGAACUGGGCCGGCCCAGCCCGACGCCCGCGCGCCCCAGUCCUCCAGGGCGGGACUCCGCCCGCCGCACGUCGCCGCGCCGCCAUGGACGCCGAGUCCACCCCGGACUCUGCCGCCGCAUGCCCCUCCUCCAAGGCCACCCUGACCCUCCCCUCCUUAAAUAACGGGCCACCCCGGCCCCUCUCUCUCCCGCAUCUCGCCGAGCUGCCGGAGCCCGCAGCUGCCGCCGCCGUUUUCAACCACCGCCGCCGCCGCUCGCAGCGCCCCCCGCACUACCUCGCCCCUCGCUGCCCCGCACCNNNNNNNNNNNNNNNNNNNNNNNNNNNNNNNNNNNNNNNNNNNNNNNNNNNNNNNNNNNNNNNNNNNNNNNNNNNNNNNNNNNNNNNNNNNNNNNNNNNNNNNNNNNNNNNNNNNNNNNNNNNNNNNNNNNNNNNNNNNNNNNNNNNNNNNNNNNNNNNNNNNNNNNNNNNNNNNNNNNNNNNNNNNNNNNNNNNNNNNNNNNNNNNNNNNNNNNNNNNNNNNNNNNNNNNNNNNNNNNNNNNNNNNNNNNNNNNNNNNNNNNNNNNNNNNNNNNNNNNNNNNNNNNNNNNNNNNNNNNNNNNNNNNNNNNNNNNNNNNNNNNNNNNNNNNNNNNNNNNNNNNNNNNNNNNNNNNNNNNNNNNNNNNNNNNNNNNNNNNNNNNNNNNNNNNNNNNNNNNNNNNNNNNNNNNNNNNNNNNNNNNNNNNNNNNNNNNNNNNNNNNNNNNNNNNNNNNNNNNNNNNNNNNNNNNNNNNNNNNNNNNNNNNNNNUGCUGCCGUCGCCGGAGCACGCUGCCGCCGCCAACCGACGUGGGAAAGCCGCCGGAAACCGCCCCGUCGUUGAACCGCCGAGAAACCGUGGUAAAAACCGCCGCCGACCGGUCCGAUUCAAAUCAGUUUUUUAACCGGUUUUUUAUUAUUAUUUAGCGGACGUUCUCUAUUUAGAUCUCUUUACCGAACGGUUUUCGUCGCAUAUGCCUCUUUAGCGAACGUUCGUUCGAUAGGAUUUUUCUUUUUCUUUUUAAUUUCGGCCAGGGACCUAUCUGUGAAUUCUUUUCUUAUAGUUUAGUCCCUGAUUUCAAUCGAGUACAACUUUUUAGUCGUUUGUCCAAAUCCAACGAAACUAAUGCCCAGUUCUUCGUUAUGAUCCCCUUUAUCAAGAUAAUCAACUUAAACAUGUUUUUGAAAGUUUUAAAAUUUGAAUUAGAUCAGAUUUGUAUUCGAACUUCGUUUGAUCAUAACUUGAGUUUUAUAACUCCGAUUUAGUUGAUUCUUUUUGCAAAUCGAAGCUCUUGACCUAAGCUUUCUGAUAAGGCCAAAUAACUUAAUUUUGGUACUGUUAGAAAUUGUUUUAUGUCGCUAGAAUUAUUUCCUUGGUUUUGAUGUUUUCCGAAUUGUUUUCUUUGUUCUUUCUGAUCUUUUGAGUGAUUGCUUAUGCGUGUUUACUAUUGCUUUCUUACGUAGAUUGACCGGAGUGUGACGAGUAGAACUAUCAAGAGUUUUGAGUGCGAAUCAUCUUCAUCAACUGUACAGGCAAGUUCACACUUUGAUCAUAUCCCUUUCAUACCCAGUUUUUAUGCAUUAGUUUCAACCCUCAAACAUUGCAUGAGUAGGAUUGAUAACAUGUGGGUAUUGGGAAGUAGUUGAUGAGGUAGGAACUUAUUGCCCUACAUUCAAACCCUUGGGAGUUACUAUUACGUUAUGCUUAUAUUGCCAUGCUAUGCUCGUAGACGUGGAUUGGGUUUGAGUGUAUUCAUGACAGAUGUGAGUAUUCUUAAUUAAUGGUCCAACUUAAGGUGGCAACUUAAAUACACAUCUGGGUGGAUUGAGGUACCUGGGGAAUCCAGUGAUUGCCUGUAUUUUUUGGAAAUCCCGGGGUACCGUGUGAUUCUCCUAUGGACUGC
This 16956-nucleotide long non-coding RNA is filed under the name Triticum aestivum (bread wheat). RNAcentral describes it as "long non-coding RNA (TAES_LNC018523)". Lineage: Eukaryota; Viridiplantae; Streptophyta; Magnoliopsida; Poales; Poaceae. The record is from RNAcentral.